RNAcentral lists this ribosomal RNA (253 nucleotides) under uncultured bacterium. RNAcentral's name for it is "partial 16S ribosomal RNA". It matches the Rfam family "Bacterial small subunit ribosomal RNA", at positions 524 to 776 of the family's 1533-position model. The record is from RNAcentral.
UACGUAGGUGGCAAGCGUUGUCCGGAUUUACUGGGCGUAAAGGGAGCGUAGGCGGAUUUUUAAGUGGGAUGUGAAAUACUCGGGCUCAACCUGGGGGCUGCAUUCCAAACUGGGAAUCUAGAGUACAGGAGGGGAGAGUGGAAUUCCUAGUGUAGCGGUGAAAUGCGUAGAGAUUAGGAAGAACACCAGUGGCGAAGGCGACUCUCUGGACUGUAACUGACGCUGAGGCUCGAAAGCGUGGGGAGCAAACAGG